Molecule: long non-coding RNA, 283 nt
Organism: Oncorhynchus keta (chum salmon)
Lineage: Eukaryota; Metazoa; Chordata; Actinopteri; Salmoniformes; Salmonidae
Exons: 3
Source: RefSeq, a predicted model, not a curated record
UUUCACAUAGAAUUUUAUUACUGUGAUCCACUUUUGCGAUAAAAUAUAGUGCACCAGAUAUGCAUUUUUGUACAAGAUUUUUAAUAGCACAAAUUGGCAAAGCCACAACAAUAAUCGGAAACACAGUUAAUCUCCACAAACAUAGUAAAGUCAUGAGAAAGACUAAGAGAGGGAAGGCUGGGGGGAGGAGGGGUGUGGAGGGAGGGAAGGGAAGGCUGGGGGGAGGUGGGGUGUGGAGGGAGGGAAGGGAAGGCUGGGGGGAGGAGGGGUGUGGAGGGAAGGA